This 750-nucleotide ribosomal RNA is filed under the name uncultured bacterium. Its description in RNAcentral is "bacterial SSU rRNA". It matches the Rfam family "Bacterial small subunit ribosomal RNA", at positions 43 to 782 of the family's 1533-position model. The record is from RNAcentral.
CAGGCCUAACACAUGCAAGUCGGACGGGAUCCAUCGGAGAGCUUGCUCGAAGAUGGUGAGAGUGGCGCACGGGUGCGUAACGCGUGAGCAACCUACCUCUAUCAGGGGGAUAGCCUCUCGAAAGAGAGAUUAACACCGCAUAAUAUCAACAGUUCGCAUGUUCGGUUGAUUAAAUAUUUAUAGGAUAGAGAUGGGCUCGCGUGACAUUAGCUAGUUGGUAGGGUAACGGCUUACCAAGGCGACGAUGUCUAGGGGCUCUGAGAGGAGAAUCCCCCACACUGGUACUGAGACACGGACCAGACUCCUACGGGAGGCAGCAGUAAGGAAUAUUGGUCAAUGGGCGGAAGCCUGAACCAGCCAUGCCGCGUGCAGGAUGACUGCCCUAUGGGUUGUAAACUGCUUUUGUCCAGGAAUAAACCUAAAUACGUGUAUUUAGCUGAAUGUACUGGAAGAAUAAGGAUCGGCUAACUCCGUGCCAGCAGCCGCGGUAAUACGGAGGAUCCGAGCGUUAUCCGGAUUUAUUGGGUUUAAAGGGUGCGUAGGCGGCCUAUUAAGUCAGGGGUGAAAUACGGUGGCUCAACCAUCGCAGUGCCUUUGAUACUGAUGGGCUUGAAUCCAUUUGAAGUGGGCGGAAUAAGACAAGUAGCGGUGAAAUGCAUAGAUAUGUCUUAGAACUCCGAUUGCGAAGGCAGCUCACUAAGCUGGUAUUGACGCUGAUGCACGAAAGCGUGGGGAUCGAACAGGAUUAGA